GCAUAGACAGCUAGGAGGUUGGCUUAGAAGCAGCCACCCUUUAAAGAAAGCGUAAUAGCUCACUAGUCGAGUCGGCCUGCGCGGAAGAUGUAACGGGGCUAAGCAAUAUACCGAAGCUGCGGCAGCAUGUUUACAUGCUGGGUAGGGGAGCGUUGUGUAAGUGGAUGAAGGUGAGUUGUAAAGCUUGCUGGACAUAUCACAAGUGCGAAUGCUGACAUGAGUAACGAUAAUGGGAGUGAAAAACUCCCACGCCGGAAGACCAAGGUUUCCUGUCCCAUGCUAAUCAGGGCAGGGUAAGUCGGCCCCUAAGGCGAGGCAGAAAUGCGUAGUCGAUGGGAAACGGAUUAAUAUUUCCGUACUUGUAUAAUCAGUGAUGGAGGGACGGAGAAGGCUAGGCAAGCUUGGCGUUGGUUGUCCAAGUGAAAGUGAGUAGGCUGCGUAUUUAGGUAAAUCCGGAUACGCUCUUUAAAAGAGAAAGGUCGAGACACGAGACGAGCUCCCAAGGGAGUGAAGUUGUUGAUGCCCUGCUUCCAGGAAAAGCUUCUAAACUUAUGAUUAUAUGAACCGUACCCCAAACCGACACAGGUGGUCAGGUAGAGAAUACUAAGGCGCUUGAGAGAACUCGGGUGAAGGAACUCGGCAAAAUUGUACCGUAACUUCGGGAGAAGGUACGCCUCUGUUUGUGAACACUUCGCGUGGUAAGCAAAUGGAGGCCGCAGUGACCAGGUGGCUGGGACUGUUUAUUAAAAACACAGCACUCUGCAAACUCGUAAGAGGACGUAUAGGGUGUGACACCUGCCCGGUGCCGGAAGGUUAAUUGAUGGGGUUAGCG
RNAcentral lists this ribosomal RNA (832 nucleotides) under Alteromonas hispanica. RNAcentral describes it as "Bacterial large subunit ribosomal RNA". It matches the Rfam family "Bacterial large subunit ribosomal RNA", at positions 1083 to 1895 of the family's 2925-position model. Lineage: Bacteria; Pseudomonadati; Pseudomonadota; Gammaproteobacteria; Alteromonadales; Alteromonadaceae. The record is from Rfam by way of RNAcentral.